CGGGGUGUAGCGCAGUCUGGUAGCGCAUCUGGUUUGGGACCAGAGGGUCGUAGGUUCGAAUCCUAUCGCCCCGACCA
RNAcentral lists this transfer RNA (77 nucleotides) under Methylobacterium sp. RNAcentral describes it as "tRNA-Pro". It matches the Rfam family "tRNA". From Rfam's summary of the family: Transfer RNA (tRNA) molecules are approximately 80 nucleotides in length. Their secondary structure includes four short double-helical elements and three loops (D, anti-codon, and T loops). Further hydrogen bonds mediate the characteristic L-shaped molecular structure. tRNAs have two regions of fundamental functional importance: the anti-codon, which is responsible for specific mRNA codon recognition, and the 3' end, to which the tRNAs corresponding amino acid is attached (by aminoacyl-tRNA synthetases). tRNAs cope with the degeneracy of the genetic code in two manners: having more than one tRNA (with a specific anti-codon) for a particular amino acid; and 'wobble' base-pairing, i.e. permitting non-standard base-pairing at the 3rd anti-codon position. Lineage: Bacteria; Pseudomonadati; Pseudomonadota; Alphaproteobacteria; Hyphomicrobiales; Methylobacteriaceae. RNAcentral also lists the same sequence under 39 other names. The record is from RNAcentral.